GCCGGGGAGGGACUGGGGUGGGGGUGGUUAAUGAGCUCAGUUUCAGUACUCCUCUGGGAGCUGAUCAAGUACUAAAGGGAAGCUAACAGGAAGAGGCCAGAUCCACGUCCUCCUCAGUGCCACCUGAACAGGGUGCUUGGGUGCUCAGCUGAUAAAGGUUUUCAAAGAUGAAGCUUCUCUGAGGCUACAAUAAUGGAACCAUUUCUGGAUGCUACACAAGUGCUGGAACCUCAGGAGCACGACUUUAACUGCUGGGCAGCCAAGGAUGACUUUCUCCUUACAGAGAGCAGGCUGUGAAGGGCUCUCGAGGUUCCCCGGAUGAAGGUAAUUAAUAAACACAAAGGCAGGGAAUGAUAACAUAACAAAUAUUAGCUAAGCCAAACAAAUCUGAAACGAAGCAGGAAUUCACCUGAGAAAUAAGAGACCAGUUCCCCUCUAUUGCUCAACAGUUUUAAAUCAGGAGAUACCCAGUACUGUAACAAAGGAGGAAUGGGGUUUUAAGUUAACACUCUUGAGUAUUUCAAGACCUGCCUAGAAGAACAAGUUCAAAGAUCUCAUCUACCUCCCCACAGCAGGAACCAGAGGACUGAGUGCCUGAGGCUGCAGUGAGAUUUCUGGGACUCCAGGACACCCUGGCAGGUUCUGGCUAGGAUUCACAGGGUCUCCAGACCCCUUUUGAAAAAUCAGGGUGUAACUGGGAAACUUAUGUUAAACCAAAGAUUGCUAAAAUUUUGACUCUUUUAAAAACAUGGAGUUUAAAUUGGUCUCAAUUCACAAUUUAAAAGGGCAAUGACUGGGGCAUGGAGAGGGAGAGACACGCAACGGCUCACAGAUCUCCCUGACCAAGGCUUCUACUCCGGGUUUAAAUGUCUGAGACCAUGGCUGUGGGCUUAAGGCCUGGGCAGUGCCCAACUCCUCAGUCUCCACAGAGAGUGGCACAUGGAAAUGUUUGUGGAAUUCAUGAAUAUACACUCAGCUGGAGCUACGAAAACCAAAUUAGUGUCCACAGUUUCUAAUGAGGUCAUAACUUACAUGAAGCCGUAGACUGCGGGAAUGAAAUCCCAGGAGCUGAGAAGGAAGAAGGAGAGGCAAACGAUUACCACUAGGCUUCCCACAUACAUCAUGGCAUACUCCCACAGGAAGAUCCAGAAGGCCUUGCUCUUCACUUUCACAGCUCUCUGCUAAUGUACCUGGAAAAGCAGCAGAAGAUGGCCCAAGUACUUGGGCCCCUGUCACCCACAUGGAAGACCCAGAUGGAGUUCCUGGCUCCUGGCCUCAGCCUGGACCAGCUCUGGCCACUGCUGCCAUGUGGGGAGUGAAUCAGCAGAUGGAAGAUGGAAAUAUGGAUAUCUCUCUCUGUCUCUCUCUCCCCACCUCUCCCCUUCAAAUAAAUAAAUAAAUAAAA
This is a non-coding RNA of Oryctolagus cuniculus (rabbit), 1405 nucleotides long. The record is from RefSeq and is a predicted model, not a curated record. NCBI's taxonomy places the organism in Eukaryota, Metazoa, Chordata, Mammalia, Lagomorpha, Leporidae.